UAUUGUUAAUUUCUGUUGGAUGCUCU
RNAcentral lists this non-coding RNA (26 nucleotides) under Mus musculus (house mouse). The record is from RNAcentral. Lineage: Eukaryota; Metazoa; Chordata; Mammalia; Rodentia; Muridae.